Molecule: ribosomal RNA, 738 nt
Filed under: Bipalium kewense
Lineage: Eukaryota; Metazoa; Platyhelminthes; Tricladida; Geoplanidae
Description: 12S ribosomal RNA
Source: RNAcentral
AAUAAAUUUAAUUUUGGUUUAAUUAAUUUUUCUUAGCAGGAACAUUAAAAAAUUUUUUGAUAAUUGAAUUAGGUAUUAUGUUUAGUUCUAAUUAAUAAUUUAGAUGUGAAUUUUUUAAAAUAAUUAAUUUAAAAAUUAGAUAAAGAUGUAAGAAAUAGAAAAAGCUUAUUAGAGUGCCAGCAGCUGCGGUUAUACUCAGUUUUGAGAAUUAAGAAGUAAGAAAAAAAAUAAAUAAAAAAAAUAAUUAAAUUUUUGGUAAUAAUUGUAAAGUUUAUUAUUAAUUUUUGAAUAAUUUAAGGAUUAUAAGAUUUAUAUAAACCUGUUGGUAAUAAUAAUUAUAAAAACUUUGAAUUUUUGUCCUAUAAUAAAAUAAAAAGAUUUGGCAGUUAAUUUAAAUUUUUUGGGGAGUGUGUUAAGUAAAGAGAAUACACACUUAAUAAUUUGCUAAUUUUGUUUAAAGGUUAGUGUACGGUUGUUAAAAGAUUACUUAUAAAAUGAGAAACUAGUCUAAAAACAAAUCAUUGUGCUGCUUUUAAGUUAGACAUUUAAUUCACUACAUUUAUUUAAGAAAUUUGUGAAAAAUAAUUCAGUUUCUUAGUAAGGACUAAAAAGUAAAAGAUUAAAUGAAUAAGUUUCUUUGAAGUUUUUAAUAAAUUUAGGGUACACAUUGCCCGUCAAUCUUUUUUGAAAGAUAAGUCGUAACAUGGUAAAUUUAGCUGAAGCUGAAUUUUUUUUAAU